Molecule: ribosomal RNA, 499 nt
Filed under: uncultured bacterium
Lineage: Bacteria
Description: partial 16S ribosomal RNA
Rfam family: Bacterial small subunit ribosomal RNA
Source: RNAcentral
GACGAACGCUGGCGGCGUGCCUAAUACAUGCAAGUCGAGCGAAGUUUUUCUGGUGCUUGCACUAGAAAAACUUAGCGGCGAACGGGUGAGUAACACGUAAAGAACCUGCCUCAUAGACUGGGACAACUAUUGGAAACGAUAGCUAAUACCGGAUAACAGUAUUUCUCGCAUGAGAGAUAUUUAAAAGUUGGUUAUGCUAACACUAUGAGAUGGCUUUGCGGUGCAUUAGCUAGUUGGUGGGGUAAAGGCCCACCAAGGCGACGAUGCAUAGCCGACCUGAGAGGGUGAUCGGCCACACUGGGACUGAGACACGGCCCAGACUCCUACGGUAGGCAGCAGUAGGGAAUCUUCCGCAAUGGGCGAAAGCCUGACGGAGCAACGCCGCGUGAGUGAAGAAGGAUUUCGGUUCGUAAAGCUCUGUUGUUAGGGAAGAAUGGAUAUGUAGUAACUAUACAUGUAAGAGACGGUACCUAACCAGAAAGCCACGGCUAACUACGUG